RNAcentral lists this long non-coding RNA (253 nucleotides) under Hordeum vulgare. RNAcentral's name for it is "long non-coding RNA (HVUL_LNC008990)". The record is from RNAcentral. Lineage: Eukaryota; Viridiplantae; Streptophyta; Magnoliopsida; Poales; Poaceae.
AGGAUGAGAAGAAACUUGUGCUUCUCAUUUAAUCUUUGUUGAACUCUCUUUAUGUGCGAUUGUGCACUUGUUGGGUUCUUCUUCUGUGCACUUGCACCUGUAGAAGUAUUCUGUUGUGCACUUGUACAAUUAUUUUGAUGUGCACUUGUUAGGCCUUGAACCUUAAUGUGUGGAGGAGUCGGUGGAUGAUGUAUUGUAUUUCAUGUGAUGUACUACUGAAAUGAAAUAUACAGUUUAUCUGCAAUCUUUUAUU